GCCUGCAGAAGCCACCAGUCAAACACUCAUCUUUACUAAGGUCAGCGCACAGGCCCGCAGAAGCCACCAGUCAAACACCCAGUUGUACUGAGCAUGGCUCUCCAGCUGGAGGAGACUGGUACGCUAGAAAGGAGCCUUGUCCAUCCUUGACCUUGGUGAAGGUCAGUAGGUCACAGAGCUUAAUAAAGCUAUGAGCAUGAACUGAUACUCACUUCCGGGGUCUUCUGAGAGAAACACCCGCCAGCUCAAUCUCUUCCUGACGAUGAGACCCUGGAGCCUUCAGAUGCAGCAGGAGGAGAAGCUGAAUUGAGCACAGUUUCAGAAAUACCUGUGACUAGGGGAUUCCACGCUGCAGAAAAUGGUCUCCAGAAACAGGAGUCUGACUUCCCUCUCCAGAACAAAGAUGUCUGCAGGAGUUCCAAGAGGAGCCACAUGGAGUUGGUAGGUGGUAUGGUCAGAGGUGGAAGCCUGGAAGGCAAGGAAGCAUCAUCUCUGUUGAUGGGCAUCACCCCAAAUGAAGACCCUGUAAGAGGGGACAGGGUACAUUGGACACAACCCUGAAAACAGUCUCUGAAAAGAUUCACUCUUCUAUCAUGAGUGAAUGAAUGAGGCAAUUUGCAGAAGAGGAGCGGGAACAAAAACAAAGGAAGUGGUUUUGUGGCAGAAGGCACAAGAGGAGAGGAGAAUGGACCUAAGACCACGAAGAGUUCCGCCGACAUAGCGGACUUGGGAAAGCUGAGCGCAAGAUUUCUGAUGGCUACGCAGCUGCAGACGGAGCACAGUGCCUGGUUGUCAGAGCCUCGUUAGCGUUUGAUGAGAAAAGAUAGGCAUAGCCUCUCCCCUCCCUUGUGUGGGGCUGGACCUGAAGCCUGCCUGGUGCUCCCACACACAUGCUCUACUGGAAUCACUCGUGUUUCCGUUUUGCUUAUUUGUUUGAGAUAGUGUUUUGUUUACAUAGCUUUGGCCUCGUUUUAGACUCCAUUUUAUAGCCCAGGCUGGUCGUAAAGCCAUGAUUUUCUUGUCUCUGCCUCCUCAGUACUAGGAUAUAGGUUGUCGACAACUAUAUCCAACUCCUAGGGACGUUCUUAAUGGUUUUGUCAUCCCUCCCCCCCCCCAUGCUGGGGAGCUCCUUCCUCUCCUUCAGCCAAUAGACUAUAAGAUACCAGCCCACUUGGGCGUGGUUUCUUUUGCUUUAAAAAACAGCAGUAGCCCUGUGCUCU
Molecule: long non-coding RNA, 1220 nt
Organism: Arvicola amphibius (Eurasian water vole)
Lineage: Eukaryota; Metazoa; Chordata; Mammalia; Rodentia; Cricetidae
Exons: 3
Source: RefSeq, a predicted model, not a curated record